AGCAGUCGCCGCGGGAAUACGUAGGGUGCAAGCGUUAAUCGGAAUUACUGGGCGUAAAGCGUGCGUAGGCGGUUUGUUAAGUCUGUUGUGAAAUCCCCGGGCUCAACCUGGGAAUGGCAAUGGAUACUGGCAAGCUAGAGUGUGUCAGAGGAUGGUGGAAUUCCCGGUGUAGCGGUGAAAUGCGUAGAGAUCGGGAGGAACAUCAGUGGCGAAGGCGGCCAUCUGGGACAACACAGACGCUGAGGCACGAAAGCGUGGGGAGCAAACAGGAUUAGAUACCCCUGUAGUCCCUGUCUCUUAUAC
This 303-nucleotide ribosomal RNA is filed under the name uncultured bacterium. Its description in RNAcentral is "partial 16S ribosomal RNA". It matches the Rfam family "Bacterial small subunit ribosomal RNA", at positions 507 to 807 of the family's 1533-position model. The record is from RNAcentral.